GGCUCAGUAACACGUAGUCAACAUGCCCAGGGGACGUGGAUAACCUCGGGAAACUGAGGAUAAACCGCGAUAGGUCAUCACUUCUGGAAUGGGUAAUGACUUAAAUCUAUAUGGCCCCUGGAUUGGACUGCGGCCGAUCAGGCUGUUGGUGAGGUAAUGGCCCACCAAACCUGUAACCGGUACGGGCUCUGAGAGGAGGAGCCCGGAGAUGGGCACUGAGACAAGGGCCCAGGCCCUAUGGGGCGCAGCAGGCGCGAAACCUCUGCAAUAGGCGAAAGCUUGACAGGGUUACUCUGAGUGAUUUCCGUUAAGGAGAUCUUUUGGCACCUCUAAAAAUGGUGCAGAAUAAGGGGUGGGCAAGUCUGGUGUCAGCCGCCGCGGUAAUACCAGCACCCCGAGUGGUCGGGACGUUUAUUGGGCCUAAAGCAUCCGUAGCCGGUUCUACAAGUCUUCCGUUAAAUCCACCUGCUUAACAGAUGGGCUGCGGAAGAUACUAUAGAGCUAGGAGGCGGGAGAGGCAAGCGGUACUCGAUGGGUAGGGGUAAAAUCCGUUGAUCCAUUGAAGACCACCGGUGGCGAAGGCGGCUUGCCAGAACGCGCUCGACGGUGAGGGAUGAAAGCUGGGGGAGCAAACCGGAUUAGAUACCCGGGUAGUCCCAGCUGUAAACGAUGCAGACUCGGUGAUGAGUUGGCUUAUUGCUAACUCAGUGCCGCAGGGAAGCCGUUAAGUUUGCCGCCUGGGGAGUACGGUCGCAAGACUGAAACUUAAAGGAAUUGGCGGGGGAGCA
This 788-nucleotide ribosomal RNA is filed under the name uncultured archaeon. RNAcentral describes it as "bacterial SSU rRNA". It matches the Rfam family "Archaeal small subunit ribosomal RNA", at positions 87 to 878 of the family's 1478-position model. The record is from RNAcentral.